ACCUUAUAACUAGUCUAAACACCCCAAAAAAACAUUAUAACCCAUUAAACUUUAAACCAUAACUAAAACAUUUAUAAUUUUUAGUAUAGGCGAUAGAACAAAAUCUUAGAACUAUAGUUAAAGUACCGCAAGGGAAAGCUGAAAAAGAAUUGAAACAACCAUAAAGUAUAAAAAAGCAGAGAUUAAACCUCGUACCUUUUGCAUCAUGAUUUAGCUAGAAAAAAUAAGCAAAAAGACUUAAAGUUUAUCAUCCCGAAACUAGACGAGCUACUUCGAGGCAGCAAUAAGUGCGAACCCGUCUCUGUAGCAAAAGAGUGGGAAGACCCCCAGGUAGCGGUGAUAUACCUAUCGAGCCUAGUGAUAGCUGGUUACCCAAAAAAAGAAUUUUAGUUCUGCAUUAAAUAUUCAAAUAUUUACACAAGAACAUCUUCCUAAAAAUAUUUGUAAUACUUAAUAGUUAUUCAAAAGAGGUACAACCCUUAUGAAAAAAGAAACAACUUUAUUAGGAGGAUAAAGAUCAUAUUUAACAAAACAAUAAACCCAGUAGGCCUGACAGCAGCCACCUGUAAAGCAAGCGUCACAGCUCUAAUUAAAACUAACUUUAUAAUUUAGAUAAUUAAUCUAAAACCCCUAAUCAUCUAUUGGGUUAUUCUAUUGAACAAUAAAAGAAAUAAUGCUAAAAUGAGUAAUAAGAAGCUUAAACUUCUCCUUCACAUAAGUGUAUACCAGAAAGAAUUAAAUCACUGGUAAUUAACCGUCACCAAACAGAGGUAAAUAUAACAUAAACACAAAACCAGAAAUAAAUAUUAACCUAAACGUUAACCCUACACCGGCAUGUUAUAAGGAAAGAUUAAAAGGAAAUAAAGGAACUCGGCAAACACAAACUCCGCCUGUUUACCAAAAACAUCGCCUCUUGAUUAACAAACAUAAGAGGUCAAGCCUGCCCUGUGAUAUAUUUAACGGCCGCGGUACCCUGACCGUGCAAAGGUAGCGUAAUCACUUGUCUUUUAAUUGAAGACCCGUAUGAAUGGCACCACGAGAGUUUAUCUGUCUCUAUUUCCCAAUCAAUGAAAUUGAUCUCCCCGUGCAGAAGCGGGGGUAAUACUAUAAGACGAGAAGACCCUAUGGAGCUUCAAAUAAUUAAAUUAAUAAAACAAGACAUUUUAAACGACAGUUAUAAACACACACCUUAUUUUAAUUUAACAUUUUUGGUUGGGGCAACCAAGGGGAACAAAAAAACCCCCUUAUCGAUUAAGUAUUAUAUGUACUUAAAAUAAUAGAAAGACUUUUCAAAUUUACAGAACAUCUGACGAAAUAUGACCCAAGAAUCUUCUUGAUCAAUGAACCAAGUUACCCUAGGGAUAACAGCGCAAUCCUUUCCAAGAGUCCAUAUCGCCGAAAGGGCUUACGACCUCGAUGUUGGAUCAGGAUAUCCUAAUGGUGUAGCCGCUAUUAAGGGUUCGUUUGUUCAACGAUUAAUAAUCCUACGUGAUCUGAGUUCAGACCGGAGCAAUCCAGGUCAGUUUCUAUCUAUAAUUAAUAUUUUUCCCAGUACGAAAGGACCGGAAAAAUGAAGCCACUGCUAUAAGCAAGCUUCAAUUUCACUCACUGAAAAAACUAAAGUAAGUAAGAAAAAUUACCACUCCAUUAAAAAUAAUAACGC
This 1663-nucleotide ribosomal RNA is filed under the name Narcine timlei (blackspotted numbfish). Its description in RNAcentral is "16S ribosomal RNA". It matches the Rfam family "Bacterial large subunit ribosomal RNA". Lineage: Eukaryota; Metazoa; Chordata; Chondrichthyes; Torpediniformes; Narcinidae. The record is from RNAcentral.